CUAUACAUGACUCUGCGCAUAUCAAUAAGCGGAGGAAAAGAAACUAACAAGGAUUCCCCUUAGUAACGGCGAGUGAAGCGGGAAGAGCUCAAAUUUGAAAUCUUCAAGGUUUUACCUUGACGAAUCGUAGUUUAAAGAAGUGUUUUCUGUUGGAGUUUCGGUAAAAGUUCUUUGGAAUAGGACAUCAUAGAGGGUGAGAAUCCCGUAUUUGGUCAUUCCUCCUAGCGUUGUGAUACACUUUCAAAGAGUCGGAUUGUUUGGGAAUGCAGUCCAAAAUGGGUGGUAAAUUUCAUCUAAAGCUAAAUAUUGGCGAGAGACCGAUAGCGAACAAGUACCGUGAGGGAAAGAUGAAAAGAACUUUGAAAAGAGAGUUAAACAGUACGUGAAAUUGUCAAAAGGGAAGCGUUUGACACCAGUGUUGUUUUCUCGAAAAUCAAUUAAAAAUGGCGGGAUUUUGUGUUGUAUUGACUUUAUCAGCUUUCUGCACUUUUUUCCUGUCUUUUUUAAUGCACUUUUCGUUUAACAAGUCAACAUCAAUUUCUUUUGUUGUAAAAGGGUCAUUGGAAGGUGGCUUUCUUUUCGGAGAAAGUGUUUAUAGCCUUUGACUUCUGCAAUCGGAGAGAUUGAGGUCUGCAGCGUAGAUCCUUCGGGGUUAGAUGCAUUUGUGCUAAGUUAUAGCCUUUCAUAGACAACUUGUUGACUAUGAUCAGUCAUGUAGCUUACUCGCUUAUGUUAUUUUACCUACGCUUAGGAUGUUGAAGAUAUGCGCGACACGACUCUAUACAUGACUCUGAGCAUAUCAAUAAGCGGAGGAAAAGGCAAGAUCAGAUACCUACGCUUAGGAUGUUGAAGAUAUGCGCGACACG
Molecule: ribosomal RNA, 866 nt
Filed under: uncultured Neocallimastigales
Lineage: Eukaryota; Fungi; Neocallimastigomycota; Neocallimastigomycetes; Neocallimastigales
Description: partial large subunit ribosomal RNA
Rfam family: Eukaryotic large subunit ribosomal RNA
Source: RNAcentral